AGAGUUUGAUCCUGGCUCAGAUUGAACGCUGGCGGCAGGCCUAACACAUGCAAGUCGAGCGGCAGCGGGAAAGUAGCUUGCUACUUUUGCCGGCGAGCGGCGGACGGGUGAGUAAUGCCUGGGGAUCUGCCCAGUCGAGGGGGAUAACUACUGGAAACGGUAGCUAAUACCGCAUACGCCCUACGGGGGAAAGCAGGGGACCUUCGGGCCUUGCGCUAUCAGAUGAGCCUAGGUCGGAUUAGCUAGUUGGUGAGGUAACGGCUCACCAAGGCGACGAUCCGUAACUGGUCUGAGAGGAUGAUCAGUCACACUGGAACUGAGACACGGUCCAGACUCCUACAGGAGGCAGCAGUGGGGAAUAUUGGACAAUGGGCGAAAGCCUGAUCCAGCCAUGCCGCGUGUGUGAAGAAGGUCUUCGGAUUGUAAAGCACUUUAAGUUGGGAGGAAGGGCAGUAAGUUAAUACCUUGCUGUUUUGACGUUACCGACAGAAUAAGCACCGGCUGACUUCGUGCCAGCAGCCGCGGUAAUACGAAGGGUGCAAGCGUUAAUCGGAAUUACUGGGCGUAAAGCGCGCGUAGGUGGUUCAGCAAGUUGGAUGUGAAAGCCCCGGGCUCAACCUGGGAACUGCAUCCAAAACUACUGAGCUAGAGUACGGUAGAGGGUGGUGGAAUUUCCUGUGUAGCGGUGAAAUGCGUAGAUAUAGGAAGGAACACCAGUGGCGAAGGCGACCACCUGGACUGAUACUGACACUGAGGUGCGAAAGCGUGGGGAGCAAACAGGAUUAGAUACCCUGGUAGUCC
RNAcentral lists this ribosomal RNA (801 nucleotides) under uncultured bacterium. RNAcentral describes it as "bacterial SSU rRNA". It matches the Rfam family "Bacterial small subunit ribosomal RNA", at positions 8 to 796 of the family's 1533-position model. The record is from RNAcentral.